GGCGUGCCCCGCAACAGCUUCCGGCGUGACGCAGUAGAAAAGGUGGCGUGGCUGGCGAUUCGUGUUCGUGAGGGCCUUUUCUGACCAAGAUAAUACAUUUUUUCUCAAGUCUCCAACUUCAAGAAUUGUACAAAUAUGACUGUGACAUCGCUUAAAAAUAUAGGAAAACUUAAAAAAUUGUACAAAUAAAAUGAAUCAUGUCUAUGACUUAUUAAUGGAACUUCAGUGGCAACUCAGAGAAGGACAUGUUUGCUUCCCCUUCCGCCAUGAUUCUAAGUUUCCUGAGGCCUCCACAGCCAUGCAGAACUGAGCUCUCUGUACAUCCUCAACCAGAGCCACAGCUUCCUCGCCAUUUUCUGGAUGCUGCUCCCUCACCCAGGUCUGGAUCUCCUCUGGCAAGAUAGUCAGAAACUGCUCCAAAACCAGCAGCUCCAGGAUUUCCUCUUUCGAGUGGGUCUUCGGCCUCAGCCACUGACAACAGAGUUCCCAGAGUUUGCUAAAAGCUUCAUGUGGGCCAGUUACCUCCUGGUAGCAAAACUGCCUGAAGCGCUGACGGGAGGCCUCGGAGUCAGGGCUGUUACCCUGGAGGGCUGAUUUCUGGCCCUGUGUGGGAUCCUUGUUUGAGGAUGGGUGUGCCUCGGUACUCUUCACUGCAGCCAUCAUUUGCUUCAACGAACUGGCUUACUCUGGUUGCCACUUCUACCCUGGAGAUCAGAGUCCAUCUUUCCCACAUCACUGGGAAGCCAUGUUCUCCUGCAAGGAAUGUCUUUCUGUAAUCUGUGGGACAUGAGAGUGUCAGACAUGUGUAAAGACUCACAGCAGAAAAAAAGGGCUCAACUUUGAAGGAUGUCUGAAGAGGAUGGAAAAAGACAAUAUAAACCUAUCAAACAUUC
Long non-coding RNA from Pan troglodytes (chimpanzee), 893 nucleotides. RefSeq lists it as uncharacterized. The transcript has 4 exons. NCBI's taxonomy places the organism in Eukaryota, Metazoa, Chordata, Mammalia, Primates, Hominidae. The record is from RefSeq and is a predicted model, not a curated record.